RNAcentral lists this ribosomal RNA (301 nucleotides) under uncultured bacterium. RNAcentral describes it as "partial 16S ribosomal RNA". It matches the Rfam family "Bacterial small subunit ribosomal RNA", at positions 509 to 807 of the family's 1533-position model. The record is from RNAcentral.
CAGCCGCCGCGGUAGUACGUAGGUGGCAAGCGUUGUCCGGAAUUAUUGGGCGUAAAGGGUGCGUAGGCGGGAUCUUAAGUCAGGGGUGAAAUCCCGAGGCUCAGCCUCGGAACUGCCUUUGAUACUGGGGUCCUUGAGUCCGGAAGAGGUGAGUGGAACUGCGAGUGUAGAGGUGAAAUUCGUAGAUAUUCGCAAGAACACCGGUGGCGAAGGCGGCUCACUGGUCCGGAACUGACGCUGAGGCACGACAGCGUGGGGAGCAAACAGGAUUAGAUACCCGAGUAGUCCCUGUCUCUUAUAC